Molecule: non-coding RNA, 24 nt
Filed under: Arabidopsis thaliana (thale cress)
Lineage: Eukaryota; Viridiplantae; Streptophyta; Magnoliopsida; Brassicales; Brassicaceae
Source: RNAcentral
UGCCGCUGCGAGGGUUUACGACAG